Serinus canaria (Common canary) is the source of this 656-nucleotide long non-coding RNA. RefSeq lists it as uncharacterized. The record is from RefSeq and is a predicted model, not a curated record. The transcript has 2 exons. Lineage: Eukaryota; Metazoa; Chordata; Aves; Passeriformes; Fringillidae.
CUGAAGGAGGGGACAGGCUAGACAUGCAAACCUUCACGAAGAGAGCUUCAGAGCUGUCAAGAGUUAUGAGAGAGCUCAGACUGAGAUUUGAAGAUAGCAAGGCCAGAUUCUAAAGGCACAUUCUAAGUGGCAGAAGGAGGUGAUCCUGGACCAGACAGUUGGUGUGCGCACAUCAAAGAGGGAGGGAGACAGGCAGGCACUUUGGGAGCAAGGCUGGAGGCAGCUGAAAGGGUCUGGAGGUCUGUUUGCUGAGCAGACACCAUCUGUUUACUCCAUCCAGCACCUCACUGCACCAGCCUUCGUGGCAUUUGAAGCUGAAACUGCCUGAGAAAUCAAGCAAGAAACUCUCUGUGACCCUGGGAGGAAAACUGCCAAGGAAAUUGAGGCUCAUCACACCCAGCUGCCAAAGGAGUGCUCGAGUCCUGCUGCUAGACCUGUCUGCAAGCCGUGGCAUCUCGUGUACAGGAGUGUGAAGAGUGAGUGGAGCGUUAAAUAAGGACGUGGAUAAGUGUGGCAAUUCCCUGCUGACUGCCAGAACAGCCUGCAGAGCAGAGACUGAGGCCAGCCUCUCUUCCCCCCCAGGUUUUGCAGUGCCAUCUUUUGUCAAACAUGAAAAAGAAACAAAAAGUGAAUAAAAACACAACUUCCAGCAAAUA